UGGACACUGAGUGCCACCACGUGACACUGA
RNAcentral lists this non-coding RNA (30 nucleotides) under Homo sapiens (human). The record is from RNAcentral. Lineage: Eukaryota; Metazoa; Chordata; Mammalia; Primates; Hominidae.